AUGGUUGGGUUGAUUAUUUUCAAGGCUUCAAAGAGCAAUGGCUUCUUUAGUUUUGUUACUGGAAGCACUAAUGAUAUUCCGAUGCCAAAAUCAUGAUCUUUUGUCGAACAAGAUAGCGAAGGAAACUCCUUAUAACACCAACCAUGAUGUGGGAAAACAAGGGUACCAUGGCUACAUUUGGAGUAGCAUGAGCCAGAUGAAGGAGGAGGAUGCUCGCACAUGGAAAAUAGCUGAGUCUUGCAUAUGGCCUUGAAAAUCGUAUGCUGUUUGAUUUUCUUUUGUUUUCUUUUUUCCUCCACUAUACCUCACUUUUGAAUUGCAGAUAUGUGCUGAAAUCCUUUUUCUUAACUUUAU
This 354-nucleotide long non-coding RNA is filed under the name Theobroma cacao (cacao). RNAcentral's name for it is "long non-coding RNA (TCAC_LNC000590)". The record is from RNAcentral. Lineage: Eukaryota; Viridiplantae; Streptophyta; Magnoliopsida; Malvales; Malvaceae.